UACGUAGGGUGCAAGCGUUAAUCGGAAUUACUGGGCGUAAAGCGUGCGCAGGCGGUUGUGUAAGUCAGAUGUGAAAUCCCCGGGCUCAACCUGGGAAUUGCAUUUGAGACUGCACGGCUAGAGUGUGUCAGAGGGGGGUAGAAUUCCACGUGUAGCAGUGAAAUGCGUAGAGAUGUGGAGGGAUACCGAUGGCGAAGGCAGCCCCCUGGGAUAACACUGACGCUCAUGCACGAAAGCGUGGGGAGCAAACAGG
RNAcentral lists this ribosomal RNA (253 nucleotides) under uncultured bacterium. Its description in RNAcentral is "partial 16S ribosomal RNA". It matches the Rfam family "Bacterial small subunit ribosomal RNA", at positions 524 to 776 of the family's 1533-position model. The record is from RNAcentral.